UUAAUUUUUGUUGUAUGAAUGUGAAAUUUUGCCCGCAUGUUCAUCUUAUUGCUAUUCCAAAAAUUCAAACUUUGUUUAUGAUUACUUUGUGUGUUUUCAGGUAAUGAUGUCCCACGAUUUUGAGACUGGACCCAGCCAGGGCUGGGAAGACUCAGAAGGAGUGCGGAAAAAUCGGUUCAGGAAGCGAAUUAACAUGGUCGCUGCAUUUACCUGAAAGGGUCAUGCCACUCAGGUUAUCGUUUGGGCCGAAGUGACUUCGACCGGGAAGACACUGCCGAUUUUUAUGGAUCAGGGGGUUAAAUCAACUCCCAGAAGUACCAUGAUGAGAAAUUUCCACGUGCUCGGUCCGCGUUCUUGGGCAUGAGACAAUCACAACGUCGAGUAUCUCACCGCUACGUUCUCCAAGUGUCUACGGGUCUGUGUGAAGGUGAUACGUGGAUACUUUGAAGUUUGAUUGUACUUUGUUGCUAUUUAAACAAAAUUUAUGCCAAAUUUUAUGUCUUUAUGUGGUUCCGUUCUAUUUUUAUCGACAGAAAUAUCGUGCUACCAGACUUUUAUGGCAUCUUGUAUAAUAGUUAGAAAAAAGUUGUCUAAAAAAAGCAAAUUUCAUGAGUGGAGAGGGAAAAAGCAAGUGAGUACCAAAAAAAGUAGGCAACAUUGGACGCAACCAAUAUUCGUAGUUGACUAUGUAAUAGAAAUUAGUGGAAUGAGAUUACCAAGCGUUAGCAGUGAUAAUGGGAAGGAGAGAGGGUACUCAGGGAAUGGCAUAAAGAGGUUGACUAGUCAAUGGACGGAGUAAGUAUUACUUGAGGAAAGAAAGCUGAAAUAGACAAAAAGGAAGCAACUAAUAUGUACAACAAUUAUGGAAGAGAUGAAAUAACAAGAACUGCUUGCUGCAACAAAAAGGGAAAUAACACAAAAAAGGAAAAAACAAAAUGAUGUUGUAGCAAUGAGUUGCCUAAUUAUACAAGAUGACCUUAGUAAAGAAAAUAAGCAACGAAUUUCCUCGAAUUAAGCUUGGUGUUCUGGAAAUACUUUAAUUUCAGCAGUGUUUUUAUGAAACCAUUUAAUUCAAGUCAAGGUUACUUCAAGAUUUAUACAAUACCUUUCCCCAAAUAUUAGAAGAUGUCUUCUUAAAUAAUUGGCAUAACCUUUGGUUCGUUGCAUUUUGAGAUUUUUAAAAUCGUUAGCAUUAAUGCUUAUUUACAUUAUAACAUUGUUAAACCAUCUAACUUAACCAAAUAUCUCACUUAUAUACCAUGAAAUCACACUCAAUAUCAACCCAACCCUAAAUUGAUUAACAAGAAAUGUAACGCUCCGGCCGCAAACGACCUUGGCAGAUUUUAAAGUGUUAUUUAAAGUUAUAUCCAAUCGAAACUGGUCAACACAUAUUAUAAGGCUUCGGUUGCAAGCGACUUCGGCUAAAUUUAAAAGGAAUAAUGUAUAACUAAAUUGAUUAGUAAAUAAAGUAGCGCCUCAACAAAAACCCACCAUUUACUAUCAUUUCAAAAAAUUCAAGUCUUGUUAAUAAAGAAAAGGAGCUACAGGAAAAAUACAAACUGAAAAGGAAAAGACAGUAAUUAUACGCACGAAAAGUAUCUUUAAAUUAGAAAUGUUUAAAGUCUUUAGAUGCAAAGUGUGUUAAGUCUGCUCGAUUUACGCAACAAUGACCAAGGAUAGUGUUUCUCCGCAAUUUGCACAUAAGUUUUCAUGUUGUGAAGAUGCUAUAGUGUUUGAUGGCAGCACAAGUUAAUCUAUUAGCAUACAUGUGCCUACUUAAAAAUAGAGUUCUUUGAAAUUGAAAGGAGACAAAAAUUUGACUUUAAAAGUUAAGGGUUAAUGCAAAUAAAAAUUGAAUAAAGCUGUUUAACACAAAACUUUUUGACACAUUUGGAUGAAAAACAAUUAGGUUUUUUAAUCUUUAAAUAAGUUAUGAAAAUGGAUGAAAAUAUGUCAGGAAUACAGGUUUGGACAGACAACAAAUGUGUCACUCCUCUUUUGCAUUAAAAAUUAUUCUAUUUCCAAUACAAAACAUGUAAUAAUAUGUACGCCAUUUAAUAAUAUUAUCUUCUAGUAUUUGAAUUUUGCAUAUUAAGUUUAUGGUUAAAUAUAAGUGUGUUCGAACUGCUCGAGGAAUGUAAAUUGAAAUAAGGUGACAAUCAAAUUUGGAUCAAAAUUAGAUAAGGGGUUGGGUUGGACAACUUUCAAGUGAAAUCUACUACUAAAAGAGAUAGAUCCAGAACAUCUAUGAUGAAGUUUAAUGUUGACCAGUAUUUUUUGAAAUCAAGGACUAUAUAAAGAUUUCCUGUAUGUCGUGGAUAUAUAAAAAUAAAUUGUUUAAUAACCUCCAUAAUGAUUUUGACCUAUGAUCUCUGUAAAUAUCUAAAUAUUUUAGCAAAAAGAAAAUAUCAAUAGUUAUAUUGAGAAUGAAGCAGGUUUGAUUAGUCAUCUAACUAUUUUAUAUUCAAAAAAAAGAACAAAUAAACUCAGAGACCAAAAUUUUCAACUUAAUUCAUGGGACGAAAUGAUUUAAAAUCAUAACUAAAGUAUUAGAGAGAUGUGUUGUUUUGGAAAGUCAUGACCUUCGAAGAUGAUAAUCAACUUGAUGUGAAAACUAUUUGGCCAAAAAAGAAUUUUUAUGGGACUCCAGAGGAAAUGUUACCAUGCUUAACACGUUGACUGCCGCAAUAAUCACUAAAAGUCUAUCCAUUCUGGCCGGAACAAUUUUAAAAUUAAAUAGGCAUGAGAAUCAACUGGUGCUUCUCAUGGCUGGUGUGGAAAUUUUGCCGUGCAUCAAGUUACGUUUUUCCUGGCAGUCAAUGUGUUAAACGUCUUGCCACUAAAUUUCCUUAACCAAACAACAUUUUCACUAUUUUUAGUCCUUUUAAGUUAGUCUAAAUGCGAUUUUAGUGUGAUAUUGACAUGAUUCUACAUUUUUAUGAUAAAAUCUGACUAACCUUACUAAAUAAGUUGAGAACUUCCGGUCUACUUAAUGAUGACAAUUCUUGUAAACAAAUAUUCGGUUUAAAUCCCUAAACUUGGGCUUUGAAGCUUUUCAUUUUCUUAUCAUAACCUUUUAUUAGUAAAUAAAAUGUUUUUGCAUUUCAUGGCGACAAUAGUUAUAUUUUUGUUCUACCGGUUUCGUGUCUCAAUUAGGGCAUCUUCAGGAAAAAAAAAUUUCAGACAAAAUUAUGUAAGGAUUUUUUUUUAAUUUGUUAAGGUGUUCCUGAAGAUACUUUAGAUUGAUUGCAAAAUCGUUUUGUUUAUUAAAUCACUAAAAGAUUAAGAACAUUAGAACCAAAGACUAAAAAAUUAAAACAAUGAUCUUUCUAUACCUGUAGUUGAAUAAUUUAAGAGUGAUGAGAUAUAUAAACAACUAAAAAUUGAGUAGAGUUUGUUUGAUCCCAGUGUGAUUGACCUCAGUCAAUAGAAAAUGAAAAAAAAGUUAUUAUUUAUGAACCUGAAGGUGCUAAGUAAUAUUUCUGUGAGCGUAUUUCAUGCAUAAAAGUUUAGUUCAAUACCUUUGGAUUUUAAUAUGGUUUCUUCACAUAAUUAUUUGAUGGAACACAAAUAACGGGUUUUAUCUUUGGUUAUCCAACCCAUAAUUGCCCAAGCUUGCAUAUAUACUGCAUUUAUUGGGUACAAAAGACUGGAUUCCCCAUUGAAUGAAAAAUUAGAAACUAACUCAUGAUUAGAAUCAAUCGUUUUUAGGUAAAUAGAGGCACAUUUCAUCAUUAAGUAGGACGCGACACCAUUCUCCUAUGCAAAUGGAAUGAUAACAGUAUUGCUUUAAUAGUGACUAAUUACUUAAACAGUUUUACCAGAAAAUAAAGUUAAUAGGCGAAAAAAAUGUGAAUAUUAAACACCUACAUGUUGUAUAAAAAUACAAUGGGAAUGAGGGUGCCAAAAGUGGUCUAAAUAACGGGAAGUAAAUCGAAAUAUUAAACGUUAGCAAACAAUUGUGCAAUUAUAAAUACCAC
Onthophagus taurus is the source of this 3980-nucleotide non-coding RNA. NCBI's taxonomy places the organism in Eukaryota, Metazoa, Arthropoda, Insecta, Coleoptera, Scarabaeidae. The record is from RefSeq and is a predicted model, not a curated record.